RNAcentral lists this ribosomal RNA (465 nucleotides) under uncultured Klebsiella sp. RNAcentral's name for it is "bacterial SSU rRNA". It matches the Rfam family "Bacterial small subunit ribosomal RNA", at positions 338 to 795 of the family's 1533-position model. Lineage: Bacteria; Pseudomonadati; Pseudomonadota; Gammaproteobacteria; Enterobacterales; Enterobacteriaceae. The record is from RNAcentral.
CCUACGGGCGGCUGCAGUGGGGAAUAUUGCACAAUGGGCGCAAGCCUGAUGCAGCCAUGCCGCGUGUGUGAAGAAGGCCUUCGGGUUGUAAAGCACUUUCAGCGGGGAGGAAGGCGUUAAGGUUAAUAACCUUGUCGAUCGACGUUACCCGCAGAAGAAGCACCGGCUAACUCCGUGCCAGCAGCCGCGGUAAUACGGAGGGUGCAAGCGUUAAUCGGAAUUACUGGGCGUAAAGCGCACGCAGGCGGUCUGUCAAGUCGGAUGUGAAAUCCCCGGGCUCAACCUGGGAACUGCAUUCGAAACUGGCAGGCUAGAGUCUUGUAGAGGGGGGUUGAAUUCCAGGUGUAGCGGUGAAAUGCGUAGAGAUCUGGAGGAAUACCGGUGGCGAAGGCGGCCCCCUGGACAAAGACUGACGCUCAGGUGCGAAAGCGUGGGGAGCAAACAGGAUUAGAUACCCGAGUAGUC